RNAcentral lists this ribosomal RNA (460 nucleotides) under uncultured bacterium. RNAcentral's name for it is "partial 16S ribosomal RNA". It matches the Rfam family "Bacterial small subunit ribosomal RNA", at positions 338 to 795 of the family's 1533-position model. The record is from RNAcentral.
CCUACGUGCGGCAGCAGUGAGGAAUAUUGGUCAAUGGGCGCGAGCCUGAACCAGCCAAGUAGCGUGAAGGAUGACUGCCCUACGGGUUGUAAACUUCUUUUAUAAAGGAAUAAAGUGCAGCACGUGUGCCUUUUUGUAUGUACUUUAUGAAUAAGGAUCGGCUAACUCCGUGCCAGCAGCCGCGGUAAUACGGAGGAUCCGAGCGAUAUCCGGAGUUAUUGGGUUUAAAGGGAGCGUAGAUGGGUUGUUAAGUCAGUUGUGAAAGUUUGCGGCUCAACCGUAAAAUUGCAAUUGAUACUGGCAGUCUUGAGUACAGUUGAGGUAGGCGGAAUUCGUGGUGUAGCGGUGAAAUGCUUAGAUAUCACGAAGAACUCCGAUUGCGAAGGCAGCUUACUAAACUGUCACUGACACUGAUGCUCGAAAGUGUGGGUAUCAAACAGGAUUAGAUACCCCUGUAGUC